AAUAAAUACAACCAUAAAUAUCCGUGUUUAGCGUUUUGAUCAUCCGUUUUAUUUGAAAAAUUUAUAAAAAAUAUUAAAAAAAUUAGUCACACAUAAAGUACUAUUCAUGUUUUUACAUCUAAUAACAAUAAAAAUACUAAUCAUAAUUUUUUUUCAAAUAAGACGAACGGUCAAACGUUGAANAAAAAUUAGUCACACAUAAA
Non-coding RNA from Oryza meridionalis, 203 nucleotides. NCBI's taxonomy places the organism in Eukaryota, Viridiplantae, Streptophyta, Magnoliopsida, Poales, Poaceae. The record is from Rfam.